This 700-nucleotide ribosomal RNA is filed under the name Streptomyces sp. YIM 75713 Cn. Its description in RNAcentral is "bacterial SSU rRNA". It matches the Rfam family "Bacterial small subunit ribosomal RNA", at positions 139 to 850 of the family's 1533-position model. The record is from RNAcentral. Lineage: Bacteria; Bacillati; Actinomycetota; Actinomycetes; Kitasatosporales; Streptomycetaceae.
UGGGACAAGCCCUGGAAACGGGGUCUAAUACCGGAUACUGAUCUGCCUGGGCAUCCAGGCGGUUCGAAAGCUCCGGCGGUGCAGGAUGAGCCCGCGGCCUAUCAGCUUGUUGGUGAGGUAAUGGCUCACCAAGGCGACGACGGGUAGCCGGCCUGAGAGGGCGACCGGCCACACUGGGACUGAGACACGGCCCAGACUCCUACGGGAGGCAGCAGUGGGGAAUAUUGCACAAUGGGCGAAAGCCUGAUGCAGCGACGCCGCGUGAGGGAUGACGGCCUUCGGGUUGUAAACCUCUUUCAGCAGGGAAGAAGCGAAAGUGACGGUACCUGCAGAAGAAGCGCCGGCUAACUACGUGCCAGCAGCCGCGGUAAUACGUAGGGCGCGAGCGUUGUCCGGAAUUAUUGGGCGUAAAGAGCUCGUAGGCGGCUUGUCACGUCGGUUGUGAAAGCCCGGGGCUUAACCCCGGGUCUGCAGUCGAUACGGGCAGGCUAGAGUUCGGUAGGGGAGAUCGGAAUUCCUGGUGUAGCGGUGAAAUGCGCAGAUAUCAGGAGGAACACCGGUGGCGAAGGCGGAUCUCUGGGCCGAUACUGACGCUGAGGAGCGAAAGCGUGGGGAGCGAACAGGAUUAGAUACCCUGGUAGUCCACGCCGUAAACGGUGGGCACUAGGUGUGGGCGACAUUCCACGUCGUCCGUGCCGCA